GUCAAAGCGUUCAUUAAAGUCGAGUUGGCUUAGGGAUACGUUCGUUGGGUAGGGGAGCGUUCUGUAAGCCUGUGAAGGUGUGUCGUGAGGCAUGCUGGAGGUAUCAGAAGUGCGAAUGCUGACAUAAGUAACGAUAAAGCGGGUGAAAAGCCCGCUCGCCGGAAGACCAAGGGUUCCUGUCCAACGUUAAUCGGGGCAGGGUGAGUCGACCCCUAAGGCGAGGCCGAAAGGCGUAGUCGAUGGGAAACGGGUUAAUAUUCCCGUACUUGGUGUUACUGCGAAGGGGGGACGGAGAAGGCUAUGUUGGCCGGGCGACGGUUGUCCCGGUUUAAGCGUGUAGGUGUGUGUUCCAGGUAAAUCCGGUUCACUUUAACACUGAGGCGUGACGACGAGGCACUACGGUGCUGAAG
This 410-nucleotide ribosomal RNA is filed under the name Salmonella enterica. Its description in RNAcentral is "partial 23S ribosomal RNA". It matches the Rfam family "Bacterial large subunit ribosomal RNA", at positions 1181 to 1590 of the family's 2925-position model. Lineage: Bacteria; Pseudomonadati; Pseudomonadota; Gammaproteobacteria; Enterobacterales; Enterobacteriaceae. The record is from RNAcentral.